This 491-nucleotide ribosomal RNA is filed under the name uncultured bacterium. RNAcentral's name for it is "bacterial SSU rRNA". It matches the Rfam family "Bacterial small subunit ribosomal RNA", at positions 15 to 518 of the family's 1533-position model. The record is from RNAcentral.
GAUCAUGGCUCAGGACGAACGCUGGCGGCGUGCCUAACACAUGCUAGUCGAACGGACGAAGGGAGCUUGCUCCCCGAGUUAGUGGCGAACGGGUGAGUAACGCGUGAGCAACCUGCCUUUCAGAGGGGGACAACGGUUGGAAACGACCGCUAAUACCGCAUGAAACAGUCGGACCGCAUGAUCUGACUGUCAAAGAUUUGUCGCUGAAAGAUGGGGCUCGCGUCUGAUUAGAUAGUUGGUGGGGUAACGGCCUACCAAGUCGACGAUCAGUAGCCGGACUGAGAGGUUGAACGGCCACAUUGGGACUGAGAUACGGCCCAGACUCCUACGGGAGGCAGCAGUGGGGAAUAUUGGGCAAAUGGGGGAAACCCUGACCCAGCAACGCCGCGUGAAGGAAGAAGGCUUUCGGGUUGUAAACUUCUUUUACCGAGGACGAAGAACGUGACGGUACUCGGAGAAAAAGCCACGGCUAACUACGUGCCAGCAGCUGC